This is an RNA transcript of Pogoniulus pusillus (Red-fronted tinkerbird), 3026 nucleotides long. RefSeq lists it as uncharacterized. The transcript has 9 exons. The record is from RefSeq and is a predicted model, not a curated record. NCBI's taxonomy places the organism in Eukaryota, Metazoa, Chordata, Aves, Piciformes, Lybiidae.
GGGCCGCAGGGAGCGGCAGUGGCGCUGAGCAGGCUGCAGCGGAAUGGCGGCGAGCACAGAGCGGCAGGCAGGCAGGCAGGCGGGCAGGGCGUUUCGGGCCAGAGGGAAGCCUCCCGCGUUCCCCGGCAGAGCUGCGUUCUUUGUCUCUCGCAGCAGAGGAGUUUGGGCAGCUCUCUCCAGCAAGCAUGGAAUGAGCUGAAGGAGCAGCAGGAGCAGCAUGGCCAUUCCCCAGGCAGCAGGAGGGUUCAGCCCAGCACCAGCUCAUGCGGGAGGAGCAGAUGCUGAGGAACAUCCCCCACGAGAUGCAGGUGGCAGAAGAGGCUGGGUCAGGAUCUGAUCUCAGCGUGGAGCUGCAAUAAAUCUUGCUCAAGUGAGAUGUGACUCUUCUGAGCACAGCCAGUUUGUCAUUUCCCCCCCAAGCAAACAAGCUGCUUGCUCUGCAACUCCAGCUUGCUGCUUAGCAUCGCUUAGAGUAGCUUCCUGAAAGAAAGCCCUCAGCUACCUGGAGUAAACCUGGAGAGGGAAACCACUGCUGCUGCUGCCUGUGGGCUAAGAAAGCUGUUCCAAGGAGAAGUUUGACUCUGCUGGCAGGGGGUGGAUAAGCUAAUUCAGCUUUUCUUCCCUUUGCACUGAUCAAGAGUCUUUUCAUCUUCCCUGGACUAACUGAAAACCCCUCUUUCAGUAUGUGACCUUGCCUGAGUUGCCUGCUGUUGUGGUCUUCAAAGAUGGAGCUUCCUUUGUUUCUGAUGGUAAGUAAAAGUGGAUAUUGGCCAUAUCAUGGAAUCAGCCAGGCUGGAAGAGACCUCCAAGAUCACCCAGUCCAACCUAGCACCCAGCCCUAACCAAUCAACUGGACCCUGGCACUAAGUGCCUAACAACCAGCCUGUACCUCUCUUGGCACAACUUGAGACUGUGUCCCCUUGUUCUGUUGCUGGUUGCCUGGCAGCAGAGCCCAACCCUAGCUGGCUACUGCACUGCUCCUGUGCACUGCGGCCCUCCUCUGGACCUGCUCCAGCAGGUCCUUGUCUCUUCUGUUGGAGGUUCUGUAGCUGUGUGCAGUACUCCAGGUAGGUCUCACCGGAGCAGGGCAGACUCAUAGACUCAGAGUCAAGCAGGUUGGAAGAGAGCUCCAAGCUCAUCCAGUCCAAUCUAGCCCCCAGCCCUGUCCACUCAACUAGACCAUGGCACUAAGUGCCUCACCCAGGCUGUUCCUGAGCGCUUCCAGACACGGUGACUCUGUGGUGCCACAGCAAAAUACUCCAGGUGGGCCCUCAAGGGUAUUCUUUGAGCUGUCAUGGAAGGGCUGUGCUUGCCUUCCUCUUCGCUCUAUUGCCUUGCAACCAGUCACCCACCAAAGAAAAGUUCACUCAGUGACCUCCUUGAUCUGCAUUUGAUUUAGUUUUACUUUUGAAGUGGCCUGGAGAAGGAAAUUUUGUCAAAGAGAAACAAUUUUAAACUGCUGUUUUGUGGUGUGACCUGUCUGCUUUUGCCACCCCUGUCAAAACACACAAGCCUUGUUUCAAUCCAGGCUCCUAAUUCACUUUGCACAAAUCUUACUCUCUUAAAAUGUAUUAGAAGGGUUUUUGUAAACCAGUCAGUGCAGAGGCCCUGCAAGAGACUGGAUAUUGUUUUAUGUGCAGCUUACCAUUGGGCAGGAAAGUGCUGUCAGUCACAGUUCCCUUCCCAUGUCACAUUCCCUUCUGGGAGAGGAUUGUUUGUCCUUGGUUUGGGUGAAACUAAUCAGCCAAUCAGCACUGCAUGCUGUGCUCUAAUACACUUUUUGUUCAACAGCUGCAAAUUGCUUUAGCAGCUUAGGAGUGACAUUUCUGGAAAGGUGAGAGACCUUGUCUGGAAACAGUAGAGGGUUAAAAAUAGGCUUCUCUAGGCUGAAAUAAAUGUUAUUGCCCACCUCACAGCAGCAACAGAAGAACACAUUCUGCUUGCUUGCUUGCUUUCUCUUUUGUUGUCAGAGUGUGAAGAUGGUGAUUUGUCAUCCUGGAUAAACAGAGCAAGAUUUCAAGGGUAUCUUCAUGUGGAUGGCUUUACACUUCAUGAACUUGGAGACAGAGGAAAACUUGUGGCUAUUGCAGUCAUUGAUGAUAAAAACUCUUCAGUGGAACAUACCAGGAACAGAACUGAGUGUUGGUGACAGUGUGGGAGAAGUUUGCUGAUAUGAUGUAGAGAACUUGGGGAAGUUUGUUAGAUCUGAAGAGAUGCCAGGGUGAAAACAAGAGAGGAGCAAGGCAGGAAGCACAAAAGCAAACCUAUCUCAUGAAGGAAACAGCACAACUUCAAGCACAGUUUUAAGCACAGCAUACCAAGGAGGAACAGAAAUCCCAAGCAGAGCAAAGGGGAGGAGUGGCUUAGAGAAAAGCAAAAGCACCCCACAAAGCACACAGCCAAAACACCACCCCACAAAGGACACAGCCAACCUACCCCCGCAAAGGGGAUCAGCCAAAGGCUUCUGCCUCUCCUGGGGCAGCUUAAAAAGGGGAGGUCAAUUGAAGUCUCCUCCCACCCCAGCUGUGGCCACUUUGCCCUCCCUGCUCAGUGCCCUUUAUAAGCAGAGCAGGAGGAGCCCAGCCCCAAGCUGGGCCCAUUGCGGGCCAAGGGAUCCUCCGCCUGGCAUCCCAGGAGGUUGGAUCCUCGAAGGUUUUGCUCUGGGUUCUGCGAUGGAGGCAAAGAUGGAGCAGGAGCACUAACUGGAGCUGGUAACGGACCAGCAGCAGCAGCUGGUAAUGGAACUGAUAAACAAAGAGCAAGUGCGACUGAAAGAGCUUUGCAGAAAGCAGGAGUCAGCCACCUGCCACCCAUCCCCUCCUGACCCCAACCCCAGAAACCCAAAGCAGCACUUGGCACAGGAGGUCUCUCGUGUUGCAGUCUCAACUUCAAGCCCUGGAAUACUUUGCUUCAGCCAGCAGCAUGGGGUUGGAUACCAACAGCAGAGUCGACUUAACCUGUGACUAAGUGAACUUUAAGUGUUCUGACUCCACAGUGGAACCUGAUAAAGAAAGAUGUGAAUGGAA